AUUGAACGCUGGCGGCGUGCUUAACACAUGCAAGUCGAGCGGUAACAGGCGUAGCAAUACGUGCUGACGAGCGGCGAACGGGUGCGUAAUACAUGGGAAUCUGCCUAGUAGUGGGGAAUAACCCGGCGAAAGCCGGGCUAAUGCCGCAUACGAUCCACGGAUGAAAGCGGGGGACCUUCGGGCCUCGCGCUAUUGGAUGAGCCCAUGUCGGAUUAGCUAGUUGGGAGGUAACGGCUCACCAAGGCGACGAUCCGUAGCUGGUCUGAGAGGACGGCCAGCCACACUGGGACUGAGACACGGCCCAGACCCCUACGGGAGGCAGCAGUGGGGAAUAUUGGACAAUGGGGGCAACCCUGAUCCAGCGACGCCGCGUGUGUGAAGAAGG
RNAcentral lists this ribosomal RNA (385 nucleotides) under uncultured bacterium. RNAcentral's name for it is "bacterial SSU rRNA". It matches the Rfam family "Bacterial small subunit ribosomal RNA", at positions 29 to 414 of the family's 1533-position model. The record is from RNAcentral.